Molecule: non-coding RNA, 103 nt
Organism: Acanthosepion pharaonis
Lineage: Eukaryota; Metazoa; Mollusca; Cephalopoda; Sepiida; Sepiidae
Source: the annotation of a GenBank genome assembly
CAGCGUUGAAAUACCGGUUCUCACACGAUCACCAAAGUUAAGCAACGUCGAACCUGGCCAGUACCUACAUGGGUGACCGCUUUGGAAUAUCAGGCGCUGUAAG